CCUACGGGUGGCAGCAGUGAGGAAUAUUGGUCAAUGGGAGGAAUCCUGAACCAGCCAUGCCGCGUGCAGGACGACGGCUCUACGAGUUGUAAACUGCUUUUGUACCGGGGUAAAAUGCUCUACGUGUAGGGUUUUGAAAGUACGGUACGAAUAAGGAUCGGCUAACUACGUGCCAGCAGCCGCGGUAAUACGGAGGAGCCGAGCGUUAUCCGGAUUUAUUGGGUUUAAAGGGUGCGUAGGUUGUUUUAUAAGUUAGCGGUGAAAUACCGAUGCUCAACAUCGGGGCUGCCGCUGAUACUGUAGGACUAGAGAUCGGAUGCAGCAGGCGGAAUGUGUAGUGUAGCGGUGAAAUGCAUAGAUAUUACACAGAACACCGAUGGCGAAGGCAGCUUGCUAGGCCGGAUCUGACACUGAUGCACGAAAGCGUGGGGAGCGAACAGGAUUAGAUACCCUUGUAGUC
RNAcentral lists this ribosomal RNA (460 nucleotides) under uncultured bacterium. Its description in RNAcentral is "partial 16S ribosomal RNA". It matches the Rfam family "Bacterial small subunit ribosomal RNA", at positions 338 to 795 of the family's 1533-position model. The record is from RNAcentral.